CACCCCAUUAACAGAUUAAACGUUACAGGUGUUCGUCUCGGAGUUGUAGACUCUUACACACUUCGCUUCUUCCAUAAACAAAUGUGAAUGCGAAAAAAAGAAAAAAAAAAAUCAUAAUCACCGGCGCACGUUAGCAUUCGCCCCAUCUCCUUCCCUUUUACAUUAAACGGUUUCGUGGAUUUCGCAUCGAUUUCCUUUUCUUCAGUCGGACUCGACGGUGACUUCACUCACUCUGACACCCCCGGCGCAUGUUAUAAUCGGCCGCUUAGCACUCGCUCGCUCGCUCACUCUGUUUUCUUCUGUAGUUUCAGAUUUGUUCUCGUCUGCAUUGCAGAAUUCAAAGCCUCCGACCAGAUUGCAGAUUUUUCAAUUGUGAUCGAGUAUGCGAGGUCGUCUACGAGAUGCUUACUCCACUUACAAGCGUGUAAAUUCUUUGAAUGGCCAUGAUAAAGAAGAAAAUUUAGGGCGAUGGCAGAAUGGUUUUGGGAAAGAAGCUGGAAACCCCUCGUGGAAACGUCCUCUGCCGCAUAUACUUGUGGCAAUUAUUUCAUCGCUUUUAUUUGGCUACCACCUUGGGGUGGUUAAUGACACACUUGAAAGUAUUUCUACAGACCUUGGCUUUAGCGGGAGUACGCUUGCUGAAGGUCUAGUCGUUAGUACAUGCUUAGGGGGUGCCUUUGUGGGAUCAUUAUUCAGUGGUUGGAUUGCGGAUGGAGUUGGGCGCCGAAGGGCAUUCCAAUUGUGUGCUUUACCAAUGAUUUUUGGGGCUUCAAUAAGUGCCACAACAAAUACUCUGGGUGGUAUGCUUCUUGGGAGGUUUUUUGUUGGAACUGGAAUGGGUCUUGGCCCUCCUGUUGCAGCUCUCUAUGUGGCAGAGGUUUCACCGGCUUUUGCUAGGGGUACUUAUGGAAGCUUCACUCAAAUAGCAACAUGUCUUGGACUUAUAGGGGCUCUAUUAAUUGGAAUCCCAGCCAAGGAUACUGUGGGUUGGUGGCGGGUUUGUUUCUGGGUAUCUGUCAUUCCUGCUGUAGUACUAGCUGUUUUAAUCGGGUUCUGUGCAGAGAGUCCUCAUUGGCUUUUUAAGAGAGGAAGAAUUGCUGAAACUGAAGCUGAAUUUGAGAAGCUUUUAGGAGGAUCGCAUGUCAAAUCUGCAAUGGUAGAAAUAGAAUCGUCAAAGUCAGACAGAGUGGAUGAGGCGGAUAAUGUAAAAACUUCGGAGUUAUUCUAUGGUCGUCAUAAAAAAGUGGUUUUUAUUGGCUCUAUCCUAUUUGCUUUACAACAACUAUCUGGUAUAAAUGCUGUAUUCUAUUUCUCUUCAACUGUAUUUAAGAGCGCAGGAGUCCCUCCAGACAAAGCAAACAUAUGUGUAGGAAUUGCAAAUUUAUCAGGCUCAAUUAUUGCGAUGAUUUUGAUGGAUAGACUGGGAAGGAAGGUGCUUCUUCUUGGGAGUUUCUUGGGCAUGGCAGUGUCAAUGGGUUUCCAGGUAACUGCAGCAAGUUCUUUGUUAUCAGGCUCUGGAGAGUUGUACCUAUCCGUUGGUGGCAUGCUGAUGUUUGUCUUCACAUUUGCCCUAGGCGCUGGACCAGUCCCUAGUCUCCUCCUAUCAGAAAUAUUCCCUAACCGAAUAAGAGCAAAGGCAAUGGCAAUCUGCAUGGCAGUGCACUGGGUGAUAAAUUUUUUUGUCGGUUUGUUGUUUCUGCGCCUGCUGGAGCAACUUGGGGCACAAGUUCUCUACACAAUCUUCGCUACCUUUUGCUUGAUAGCUGUGGUUUUUGUGAAGAGGAAUGUGAUGGAAACGAAAGGAAAAUCACUCCAAGAAAUUGAGAUUGCACUUCUGCCUGUUGAUUAGAGAUCAUUUUCACGUAAUCUCCUCAUCACUAAGACCAUUUCCCGUGGUGGCCUUCAGUUUGGGGUGCUAGGUGAGGCAGAAAAGGAGGCUAAAGAACAUGUAGGCAACGAAUUGUUUGUAUGCCGCUUCAUAUCUUUGUUCGGCUUCCACUCGAGUUUAGGUGUGUGAUUACAGUGAAUAGAUGAUGCCAUCACCGGAGAAUUUGCAGACACUUCUUUCUGUCGUUCAUCGGGUGGUCACUCGGGAAGGCGUCUAUAUAUUAUACGAUGUCUUUCAUCGACAUUAUACUAGCAACUGUUCAUAUGUGUAAUUGAAGUUUGUAUAUUUAAAAUUUCCAGGACCAUGGUCCUGUCUUCUUGUAGUUCAUUCACGCACUCUCACCAUUUUAUUCUGUGAAAGAAUCACAAUUCAUAGCAGCCAAACUGAAGCUUCUUCACUUAUAGUACAAAGAUUUUGGUUGGUGACCAAGUGUUCUGUUAAGAGUUUGGUCUAUUUUGAUAUAUUAUGUUGUGUUUGACAGCAUCAAAUCUUUUGGCUAUUGAAAUUA
Cornus florida is the source of this 2396-nucleotide RNA transcript. It is a transcript of the gene named probable plastidic glucose transporter 3, with no coding region annotated. NCBI's taxonomy places the organism in Eukaryota, Viridiplantae, Streptophyta, Magnoliopsida, Cornales, Cornaceae. The transcript is spliced from 16 exons. The record is from RefSeq and is a predicted model, not a curated record.